AAAAUGCGAUACUUGGUGUGAAUUGCAGAAUCCCGUGAACCAUCGAGUUUUUGAACGCAAGUUGCGCCCGAAGCCAUUCGGUUGAGGGCACGUCUGCCUGGGCGUCACGCAUCACGUCGCCCCCACCAGGCAUCCCCUAUAGGGCUGUCUUGUGUUGGGGCGGAGAUUGGUCUCCCGUGCCCAUGGCGUGGUUGGCCUAAAUAGGAGUCUCCUCGCGAGGGACGCACGGCUAGUGGUGGUUGAUAAGACAGUCGUCUCGUGUCGUGCGUUUACUUUCUUGAGAGUAGAUGCUCUUAAAGUACCCUGAUGUGUUGUCUUAUGACGAUGCUUCGAUCGCGACCCCAGGUCAGGCGGGACUACCCGCUGAGUUUAA
This 373-nucleotide unclassified non-coding RNA is filed under the name uncultured fungus. Its description in RNAcentral is "sequence contains ITS1". The stretch from base 1 to 107 matches the Rfam family "5.8S ribosomal RNA", at positions 50 to 154 of the family's 154-position model. The record is from RNAcentral. Lineage: Eukaryota; Fungi.